AUGUUACGCUUCGACAACAUCGACGGCUGCAGCUACAUCGAUACAAUGCCUAGCCUCCACGGGUACAAGCACUCGCCGCUGGCCAUCUCUGUCCCUCCGACGGACUUACACCUCCUUGACGGUGAAGACACCGGCGACCUCUACAUCAUUGAUAGCGUCCUCCAUCCGGAUAAGGCCGAGGUACGCCCGCAGUUUGAGGCCCUGGUGUGGAGGGGGAUCACCACGUCCCUUGCAUCACACAGGUUCUGGCACUGCGACAUCCUCCCGCUGCCCCCGUGGAUCAUCCACCAUAGGAAUGCCUUGGUCUACGGUCACGCCCUCGUCGGCGACACCGUCUGCUUCUCCAUCUCUGGCUCAGAGGGUGAUGGCACCUACUGCUUCCACAUGGCAACUCGUGAGUGGAGCAAAGCUGGCGACUGGCUCAUGCCUUUCGAUGGCAAGGCGGAUUACGUCCCAGAGCUUGGACUCUGGUUCGGCGUCUCAGAAGACCUCCCCUGUGUUGCUGACCUCUCUGGUGUGGUCAGAGGGGAGGAGCCGCCGCCAGAGAAGAUGCGGGUCUGGGCGCAUGAUGACCUGCCAGAGGAGUGGCAGCCGACCCAAUUGUUCAAGCCCAGGGUCAUCAGCCUCGGUUCUGGCAGGUUCAUUGUCGUGGACUUCUUGGAUGCCAUGGAAUUCGACAAGGACUGCAACGAGAUGGUUACAGGCAAGCAAUUUGCCCUCUUCACUGGUAUGGAGGUAGCGUACGGCAGCAAAGGCAAAAGUGACCAUGCCGAACACAGCAGUAUCAAUGGUCGCAGCGACGGCAAAGGGAAAGGGUUGACGCGUGCCCUCCGUAUGAUUAAGCACAAAUCUGGUCGUUACAUGUUUAACAACCAACAGAGGAUCGAGGAGGUGCUCUGA
RNAcentral lists this ribosomal RNA (900 nucleotides) under Triticum aestivum (bread wheat). Its description in RNAcentral is "partial small subunit ribosomal RNA". The record is from RNAcentral. Lineage: Eukaryota; Viridiplantae; Streptophyta; Magnoliopsida; Poales; Poaceae.